Molecule: ribosomal RNA, 609 nt
Filed under: Triticum aestivum (bread wheat)
Lineage: Eukaryota; Viridiplantae; Streptophyta; Magnoliopsida; Poales; Poaceae
Description: partial small subunit ribosomal RNA
Source: RNAcentral
AUGUGGACCUGUCUUCGUCAGCGCUAUGAGUCCUCUGGUGAUGCCUUAUAUCUUUCUGUGGUUCGUCAGGAGCAUGCUCUUCAGCAGGGUGACUCUACUGUUGAUGACUUUUAUGCACAGAGUUCUGCUAUCUGGCGCCAACUUGAUUCUCUCCGCAGUGCUGGUUGUCGUACUUGCCCCUGCUGCCUGGCUGUCCAGGCCGAUUUGGAGUUUCAUCGCGUCUAUGAGUUCCUGUCUCGGCUCUGUAAGGAGUUUGAGCCCCGGCGUGCUCAGUUGUUUGCUCGUGGCCGUAUUUCUCUCAUGGAGGCGCUUUCAGAGAUUCGUGCUGAGGAGACUCGCCUACGUGGUGCUGGUUUGCUGGAGGUUCCCUCUGUGCUCGCUACUCGGGUUUCUUUCACUCCACCUGCUGCACCGCCCCAUUCUCGCUCGAGUGCUCCGCCGCUCUUGCCCACUCCUUCUGGAGGCUCAGGUCGGCCCCGUUCACAUUGUGACUACUGCAACAAUGAUGGUCAUAUUGAGUCCCAGUGCUACACAAAGCGGAAACACCUGCGCAAGGCGCGAUCAUCCUUCUCAGGGACUUCGUCAUCUCCCUCGUCAGCUUCAUCCAUU